CCAACCCUUGGCAGAACAUAUCCAUCGCGUCCGCCAUCUCCAGCAGCCGCACGCGGCGCAUCUCGGGCCGCGUUGCUGGCGUUUUUCCAUAGGCUCCGCCCCCCUGACGAGCAUCACAAAAAUCGACGCUCAAGUCAGAGGUGGCGAAACCCGACAGGACUAUAAAGAUACCAGGCGUUUCCCCCUGGAAGCUCCCUCGUGCGCUCUCCUGUUCCGACCCUGCCGCUUACCGGAUACCUGUCCGCCUUUCUCCCUUCGGGAAGCGUGGCGCUUUCUCAAUGCUCACGCUGUAGGUAUCUCAGUUCGGUGUAGGUCGUUCGCUCCAAGCUGGGCUGUGUGCACGAACCCCCCGUUCAGCCCGACCGCUGCGCCUUAUCCGGUAACUAUCGUCUUGAGUCCAACCCGGUAAGACACGACUUAUCGCCACUGGCAGCAGCCACUGGUAACAGGAUUAGCAGAGCGAGGUAUGUAGGCGGUGCUACAGAGUUCUUGAAGUGGUGGCCUAACUACGGCUACACUAGAAGGACAGUAUUUGGUAUCUGCGCUCUGCUGAAGCCAGUUACCUUCGGAAAAAGAGUUGGUAGCUCUUGAUCCGGCAAACAAACCACCGCUGGUAGCGGUGGUUUUUUUGUUUGCAAGCAGCAGAUUACGCGCAGAAAAAAAGGAUCUCAAGAAGAUCCUUUGAUCUUUUCUACGGGGUCUGACGCUCAGUGGAACGAAAACUCACGUUAAGGGAUUUUGGUCAUGAGAUUAUCAAAAAGGAUCUUCACCUAGAUCCUUUUAAAUUAAAAAUGAAGUUUUAAAUCAAUCUAAAGUAUAUAUGAGUAAACUUGGUCUGACAGUUACCAAUGCUUAAUCAGUGAGGCACCUAUCUCAGCGAUCUGUCUAUUUCGUUCAUCCAUAGUUGCCUGACUCCCCGUCGUGUAGAUAACUACGAUACGGGAGGGCUUACCAUCUGGCCCCAGUGCUGCAAUGAUACCGCGAGACCCACGCUCACCGGCUCCAGAUUUAUCAGCAAUAAACCAGCCAGCCGGAAGGGCCGAGCGCAGAAGUGGUCCUGCAACUUUAUCCGCCUCCAUCCAGUCUAUUAAUUGUUGCCGGGAAGCUAGAGUAAGUAGUUCGCCAGUUAAUAGUUUGCGCAACGUUGUUGCCAUUGCUGCAGGCAUCGUGGUGUCACGCUCGUCGUUUGGUAUGGCUUCAUUCAGCUCCGGUUCCCAACGAUCAAGGCGAGUUACAUGAUCCCCCAUGUUGUGCAAAAAAGCGGUUAGCUCCUUCGGUCCUCCGAUCGUUGUCAGAAGUAAGUUGGCCGCAGUGUUAUCACUCAUGGUUAUGGCAGCACUGCAUAAUUCUCUUACUGUCAUGCCAUCCGUAAGAUGCUUUUCUGUGACUGGUGAGUACUCAACCAAGUCAUUCUGAGAAUAGUGUAUGCGGCGACCGAGUUGCUCUUGCCCGGCGUCAACACGGGAUAAUACCGCGCCACAUAGCAGAACUUUAAAAGUGCUCAUCAUUGGAAAACGUUCUUCGGGGCGAAAACUCUCAAGGAUCUUACCGCUGUUGAGAUCCAGUUCGAUGUAACCCACUCGUGCACCCAACUGAUCUUCAGCAUCUUUUACUUUCACCAGCGUUUCUGGGUGAGCAAAAACAGGAAGGCAAAAUGCCGCAAAAAAGGGAAUAAGGGCGACACGGAAAUGUUGAAUACUCAUACUCUUCCUUUUUCAAUAUUAUUGAAGCAUUUAUCAGGGUUAUUGUCUCAUGAGCGGAUACAUAUUUGAAUGUAUUUAGAAAAAUAAACAAAUAGGGGUUCCGCGCACAUUUCCCCGAAAAGUGCCACCUGACGUCUAAGAAACCAUUAUUAUCAUGACAUUAACCUAUAAAAAUAGGCGUAUCACGAGGCCCUUUCGUCCC
Molecule: unclassified non-coding RNA, 1905 nt
Filed under: unidentified
Source: RNAcentral